This 68-nucleotide transfer RNA is filed under the name Sininocellia chikun. RNAcentral describes it as "tRNA-Glu". Lineage: Eukaryota; Metazoa; Arthropoda; Insecta; Raphidioptera; Inocelliidae. The record is from RNAcentral.
AUUUAUAUAGUUUAAAUAAAACAUUACAUUUUCAUUGUAAAAAUAAUACAUACUUUUAUUUAUAAAUA